This 433-nucleotide ribosomal RNA is filed under the name uncultured bacterium. Its description in RNAcentral is "partial 16S ribosomal RNA". It matches the Rfam family "Bacterial small subunit ribosomal RNA", at positions 29 to 507 of the family's 1533-position model. The record is from RNAcentral.
AACGAACGCUGGCGGCAUGCCUAACACAUGCAAGUCGAACGAGACCUUCGGGUCUAGUGGCGCACGGGUGCGUAACGCGUGGGAACCUGCCCUUAGGUUCGGAAUAACUCCCCGAAAGGGGUGCUAAUACCGGAUAAUGUCUUCGGACCAAAGAUUUAUCGCCUUUGGAUGGGCCCGCGUUGGAUUAGCUAGUUGGUAGGGUAAAAGCCUACCAAGGCGACGAUCCAUAGCUGGUCUGAGAGGAUGAUCAGCCACACUGGGACUGAGACACGGCCCAGACUCCUACGGGAGGGAGCAGUGGGGAAUAUUGGACAAUGGGCGAAGGCCUGAUCCAGCAAUGCCGCGUGAGUGAUGAAGGCCUUAGGGUUGUAAAGCUCUUUUACCCGGGAUGAUAAUGACAGUACCGGGAGAAUAAGCUCCGGCUAACUCCGUG